CUUGGUCAUUUAGAGGAAGUAAAGGUCGUAACAAGGUUUCCGUAGGUGCACCUGCGGAAGGAUCAUUAACAAUUGUCCAUUUACCUUUGCAUAUGGAUGGUUAAAAUCCAUAUCCACCUUCGUGUGCACAUCAUCGACAUGUUUGCUUUGGCAGUUUGCAGGGAGAUCCUUUACCGUUUCUCCGUGGGAGGGAAAGGGGAGCGCGAGAGAGGAGAAUAGGAGAUCCUUCUCCUUGCCUUUUCUCACCUCCCUUCUUCCUCCGGCGCUGCCAGAGUUUUUUUUUCCUUUCACGUUGACAAACUUUUCUUGCUUUUUCUCGAAGCAAGCGUGAAAACAUCAAUGUUUUUGGACAACCAAAAAAUAAAUUGAAUACAACUUUCAACAACGGAUCUCUUGGCUCUCGCAUCGAUGAAGAACGCAGCGAAAUGCGAUAAGUAAUGUGAAUUGCAGACCUCAGUGAAUCAUCGAAUCUUUGAACGCAUAUUGCACUCUCUGGUAUUCCGGAGAGUAUGCCUGUUUCAGUAUCAGUAAACACCAUCAAACACCUCCAAGAGCGGGGUUGUUUGGAUUUGAGUGUUGCCGAGAAAACUUACCCUUUUUGCGGCCCGCUCGAAAUGCAAGUACACAGGACAGGGAUCUCCCGAGGUGUGAAACAAAAAAAGCGUCGUAGUUGACUUGAUCGUCUUCUUUCGCUGAAAAAGAACGCCCGGUUUUUGGGACCUUUGCUGUGCAAAUUCGCAGGAAGAUAAGGAAUAUUCUCUAUCACUUCUUGAUCUGAAAUCAGGUAGGACUACCCGCUGAACUUAAGCAUAUCAAUAAGCGGAGGAAAAGAAACUAACAAGGAUUCCCCUAGUAACGGCGAGUGAAGCGGGAAGAGCUCAAAUUUAGAAUCUCACUGGUCUCCAGUGCGAGUUGUAGUUUAUAGAAGUGUUUUCGGUGGACGCCUGGGUAUAAGUCCUUUGGAACAGGGCAUCAUAGAGGGUGAGAAUCCCGUCCAUGACCCAGAGUUGGUCACUAUGUGAUACACUUUCGAAGAGUCAGGUUGUUUGGGAAUGCAGCCUAAAAUGGGUGGUAAAUGCCAUCUAAAGCUAAAUAUUGGCGAGAGACCGAUAGCGAACAAGUACCGUGAGGGAAAGAUGAAAAGAACUUUGAAAAGAGAGUUAAACAGUACGUGAAAUUGUUGAAAGGGAAACGUUUGAAACCAGCGAUGCUUGCGGGUGAUCACUCCUGGUGCUCUCACCCGUCGGCAAGUCAGCGUCAGUUUUGGUCGCCGGAAAAAGAAUCAAGGGAAUGUGGCUUCCUCUCGGGAGUGUUAUAGCCCUGGUUCGUACGGUGACUGGGACUGAGGUCUGCAGUCAAAUCCUGGAGGCACGGCUGCUGGGGAUAGAUCGGUGCUAGACAGCUUGCUGACUGGGGCUGAUUCUGUCUCCACACGGUCGGAGGUCUCUCAAAUUGGCUUAGGUCGCUGACUUAAUGGUUUAAAAUGACCCGUCUUGAAACACGGACC
Molecule: ribosomal RNA, 1507 nt
Filed under: uncultured fungus
Lineage: Eukaryota; Fungi
Description: eukaryotic LSU rRNA
Rfam family: Eukaryotic large subunit ribosomal RNA (bases 771-1507)
Source: RNAcentral